AGUGUAGGCGGCCACUUAAGUCGGAUGUGAAAUCCCCGGGCUCAACCUGGGAAUUGCAUUCGAUACUGGGUGGCUAGAGUUUGGUAGAGGUAAGUGGAAUUCCGGGUGUAGCGGUGAAAUGCGUAGAUAUCCGGAGGAACAUCAGUGGCGAAGGCGGCUUACUGGACCAAAACUGACGCUGAGGCUCGGAAGCGUGGGGAGCAAACAGGAUUAGAUACCCUGGUAGUCC
RNAcentral lists this ribosomal RNA (229 nucleotides) under uncultured bacterium. RNAcentral describes it as "partial 16S ribosomal RNA". It matches the Rfam family "Bacterial small subunit ribosomal RNA", at positions 568 to 796 of the family's 1533-position model. The record is from RNAcentral.